This 307-nucleotide ribosomal RNA is filed under the name uncultured bacterium. Its description in RNAcentral is "partial 16S ribosomal RNA". It matches the Rfam family "Bacterial small subunit ribosomal RNA", at positions 506 to 807 of the family's 1533-position model. The record is from RNAcentral.
AGACAGCAGUAGCCACGGGAAAACGAAGGGGGCUAGCGUUGCUCGGAAUCACUGGGCGUAAAGGGCGCGUAGGCGGACACUUAAGUCGGGGGUGAAAGCCCAGGGCUCAACCCUGGAAUUGCCUUCGAUACUGGGAGUCUUGAGUUCGGAAGAGGUUGGUGGAACUGCGAGUGUAGAGGUGAAAUUCGUAGAUAUUCGCAAGAACACCAGUGGCGAAGGCGGCCAACUGGUCCGAUACUGACGCUGAGGCACGAAAGCGUGGGGAGCAAACAGGAUUAGAUACCCCAGUAGUCCCUGUCUCUUAUAC